GUGCACCAGGCGCGAACCUCCACAAUGCGGGAAACCGUGAUGGGGAAUCCGAGUGCCCGUUGGCUAAUGCUGGCGGGCUUUCUCAAGCGUAAAGGCUUGAGGAAUAAGGACUGGGUAAGACCGGUGCCAGCCGCCGCGGUAACACCGGCGGUCCAACUGGUGAUCAGCAUUACUGGGCCUAAAGCGUCCGUAGCCGGGCCCGUAAGUCCCUGGCGAAAUCCCACGGCUCAACCGUGGGGCUUGCUGGGGAUACUGCGGGUCUUGGGACCGGGAGAGGCGGGGGGUACCCCUGGGGUAGGGGUGAAAUCCUAUAAUCCCAGGGGGACCGCCAGUGGCGAAGGCGCCCCGCUGGAACGGGUCCGACGGUGAGGGACGAAGGCCAGGGGAGC
Molecule: ribosomal RNA, 389 nt
Filed under: uncultured microorganism
Description: bacterial SSU rRNA
Rfam family: Archaeal small subunit ribosomal RNA
Source: RNAcentral